UGUGAACUGCGAAUGGCUCAUUAAAUCAGUUAUCGUUUAUUUGAUAGUACCUUACUACAUGGAUACCUGUGGUAAUUCUAGAGCUAAUACAUGCUAAAAACCUCGACUUCGGAAGGGGUGUAUUUAUUAGAUAAAAAACCAAUGCCCUUCGGGGCUCCUUGGUGAUUCAUAAUAACUUAACGAAUCGCAUGGCCUUGCGCCGGCGAUGGUUCAUUCAAAUUUCUGCCCUAUCAACUUUCGAUGGUAGGAUAGUGGCCUACCAUGGUGGCAACGGGUAACGGGGAAUUAGGGUUCGAUUCCGGAGAGGGAGCCUGAGAAACGGCUACCACAUCCAAGGAAGGCAGCAGGCGCGCAAAUUACCCAAUCCCGACACGGGGAGGUAGUGACAAUAAAUACUGAUACGGGGCUCUUUUGGGUCUCGUAAUUGGAAUGAGUACAAUCUAAAUCCCUUAACGAGGAACAAUUGGAGGGCAAGUCUGGUGCCAGCAGCCGCGGUAAUUCCAGCUCCAAUAGCGUAUAUUAAAGUUGUUGCAGUUAAAAAGCUCGUAGUUGAACCUUGGGUCUGGCUGGCCGGUCCGCCUCACCGCGAGUACUGGUCCGGCUGGACCUUUCCUUCUGGGGAACCUCAUGGCCUUCACUGGCUGUGGGGGGAACCAGGACUUUUACUGUGAAAAAAUUAGAGUGUUCAAAGCAGGCCUUUGCUCGAAUACAUUAGCAUGGAAUAAUAGAAUAGGACGUGCGGUUCUAUUUUGUUGGUUUCUAGGACCGCCGUAAUGAUUAAUAGGGAUAGUCGGGGGCGUCAGUAUUCAGCUGUCAGAGGUGAAAUUCUUGGAUUUGCUGAAGACUAACUACUGCGAAAGCAUUCGCCAAGGAUGUUUUCAUUAAUCAGGGAACGAAAGUUAGGGGAUCGAAGACGAUCAGAUACCGUCGUAGUCUUAACCAUAAACUAUGCCGACUAGGGAUCGGGCGGUGUUUCUAUGAUGACCCGCUCGGCACCUUACGAGAAAUCAAAGUUUUUGGGUUCUGGGGGGAGUAUGGUCGCAAGGCUGAAACUUAAAGAAAUUGACGGAAGGGCACCACAAGGCGUGGAGCCUGCGGCUUAAUUUGACUCAACACGGGGAAACUCACCAGGUCCAGACAAAAUAAGGAUUGACAGAUUGAGAGCUCUUUCUUGAUCUUUUGGAUGGUGGUGCAUGGCCGUUCUUAGUUGGUGGAGUGAUUUGUCUGCUUAAUUGCGAUAACGAACGAGACCUCGGCCCUUAAAUAGCCCGGUCCGCGUUUGCGGGCCAGCUGGCUUCUUAG
This 1302-nucleotide ribosomal RNA is filed under the name Aspergillus sp. RNAcentral's name for it is "SSU rRNA". It matches the Rfam family "Eukaryotic small subunit ribosomal RNA", at positions 81 to 1414 of the family's 1831-position model. Lineage: Eukaryota; Fungi; Ascomycota; Eurotiomycetes; Eurotiales; Aspergillaceae. The record is from RNAcentral.